UGGGGAAUUUUGGACAAUGGGCGCAAGCCUGAUCCAGCCAUGCCGCGUGCGGGAAGAAGGCCUUCGGGUUGUAAACCGCUUUUGUCAGGGAAGAAAUCUUCUGAGUUAAUACCUCGGGAGGAUGACGGUACCUGAAGAAUAAGCACCGGCUAACUACGUGCCAGCAGCCGCGGUAAUACGUAGGGUGCAAGCGUUAAUCGGAAUUACUGGGCGUAAAGCGUGCGCAGGCGGUUUUGUAAGACAGAGGUGAAAUCCCCGGGCUCAACCUGGGAACUGCCUUUGUGACUGCAAGGCUUGAGUGCGGCAGAGGGGGGCAUGGAAUUCCGCGUGUAGCAGUGAAAUGCGUAGAUAUGCGGAGGAACACCGAUGG
RNAcentral lists this ribosomal RNA (370 nucleotides) under uncultured bacterium. RNAcentral's name for it is "partial 16S ribosomal RNA". It matches the Rfam family "Bacterial small subunit ribosomal RNA", at positions 355 to 715 of the family's 1533-position model. The record is from RNAcentral.